Molecule: ribosomal RNA, 431 nt
Filed under: uncultured bacterium
Lineage: Bacteria
Description: bacterial SSU rRNA
Rfam family: Bacterial small subunit ribosomal RNA
Source: RNAcentral
AACGCGAAGAACCUUACUUUAAAUCCCAGGAAUUUCUAAAGAAGGAGGAUUGGUGCCUUCGGGACCGUGAGACAGGUGCUGCAUGGCUGUCUUCAGCUCGUGUCGUGAGAUGUUGGGUUAAGUCCCGCAACGAGCGCAACCCUUGUCCUUAGUUGCCAGCACGUUAUGGUGGGAACUCUAAGGAGACCGCCGGCGACAAACCGGAGGAAGGGGGGGAUGACGUCAAGUCAUCAUGGCCCUUACGGCGGGGGCUACACACGUGCUACAAUGGUGGGGACAGAGGGCCGCAAUCCCGCGAGGGCGAGCCAAUCCCACAAACCCCCUCUCAGUCCGGAUUGGAGUCUGCAACUCGACUCCAUGAAGUCGGAAUCGCUAGUAAUCGCAAAUCAACUUUGCUGCGGAAAAUACUUUCCCGGGUCUUGUACACACCG